RNAcentral lists this ribosomal RNA (512 nucleotides) under uncultured bacterium. RNAcentral describes it as "bacterial SSU rRNA". It matches the Rfam family "Bacterial small subunit ribosomal RNA", at positions 29 to 517 of the family's 1533-position model. The record is from RNAcentral.
AACGAACGCUGGCGGCGUGCCUAACACAUGCAAGUCGAACGCGAAAGGGGGGCAACCCCCGAGUAGAGUGGCGCACGGGUGAGUAACACGUGGGUAACCCACCCUAGAGAUCGGGACAACCAGGGGAAACUCUGGCUAAUACCGGAUGCGUCCGAGUUGGCCUCGGCCGACUCGGAGAAAGGUGGCCUAUGCUUGCAAGCCAUCGCUCUUGGACGGGCCCGCGGCCCAUUAGCUAGUUGGUGAGGUAACGGCUCACCAAGGCUGUGAUGGGUAGCUGGUCUGAGAGGAUGAUCAGCCACACUGGGACUGGAACACGGCCCAGACUCCUACGGGAGGCAGCAGUGGGGAAUUUUGCGCAAUGGGGGAAACCCUGACGCAGCAACGCCGCGUGGGUGAUGAAGGCCCUUGGGUCGUAAAGCCCUGUCGGGUGGGAAGAAGCCCUGGCGGCGAACAGUCGCUAGGGAUGACGGUACCACUAAAGGAAGCACCGGCUAACUCUGUGCCAGCAGCCG